GGCUUGCCCGAAGGUAGUGAGUUAUAUCACUUGAUUGUUCACAGUCAGUUACAGAUUCAACUCUUUGUUCUACCAGUUUUCCUCCUCUCACUACUGCACUUGACUGGUCUUUA
RNAcentral lists this Y RNA (113 nucleotides) under Prolemur simus (greater bamboo lemur). RNAcentral's name for it is "Y RNA (ENSPSMG00000011098.1)". It matches the Rfam family "Y RNA". Rfam says of the family: Y RNAs are components of the Ro ribonucleoprotein particle (Ro RNP), in association with Ro60 and La proteins. The record is from Rfam by way of RNAcentral. Lineage: Eukaryota; Metazoa; Chordata; Mammalia; Primates; Lemuridae.